Oryctolagus cuniculus (rabbit) is the source of this 535-nucleotide non-coding RNA. The record is from RefSeq and is a predicted model, not a curated record. Lineage: Eukaryota; Metazoa; Chordata; Mammalia; Lagomorpha; Leporidae.
UCACCCUCACCCGUGGCCAGGAAGGGCAGGGGACACAGGCACAGCCCCUGGGUGGCCACCCCUGGUCACAGUGCCUGAGCUGGAUGAGCUCAUAAUGCAGGUAGCGUCCAUGCCAGAGCUCUGCUGGGCAGGAGACAGAGGUACCAGGAAGAGAGUUCUCCAUCUGGAGGGCUUCCACUGGGGGCUGUGAAUGCCAGGAUGGUGGGAGCCCUCUCUCCUGGGAAGGGAGCCUGUGUCUGAGUUGGAGUCCAAGGGACAGAGAUAUCCCAUGAGAUCCCUCAGUGUCUGCGGAUCUUUUGUAGCCCACAAACGCAAAUAUCGCGGUUUUCCAGUCCUGAAACAUUGAUAAGUUCUGAUAGAGUCAGAGGCACGGUGCUUGGCGGGUAGCGAGGAAGACUUUGGUGACGUAAGCAGAACGUGGUCCACGCCUCCGUCUCCGAGGGGAAAGGCAGGCGCAGCAUCAGACACGGGUGGCAGUGAGUCCCAGCGGGACAGACAGUCUUGGGUGGAAAUAAAGAGUUACUAGAUACUGUAA